Molecule: ribosomal RNA, 467 nt
Filed under: uncultured bacterium
Lineage: Bacteria
Description: partial 16S ribosomal RNA
Rfam family: Bacterial small subunit ribosomal RNA
Source: RNAcentral
GAUGAACGCUGGCGGCGCGCCUAACACAUGCAAGUCGAACGAUUAAAGCACCUUCGGGUGUGUAUAAAGUGGCGAACGGCUGAGUAACACGUGGGCAACCUGCCCCUUUCAUUGGGAUAGCCACGGGAAACCGUGGAUAAUACCGAAUACUUCGAGACUUCCGCAUGGAAGACUCGAGAAAGCUCCGGCGGAGAGGGAUGGGCCCGCGGCCUGUUAGCUUGUUGGUGGGGUAACGGCCUACCAAGGCAAUGAUGGGUAGCUGGGUUGAGAGACCGACCAGCCAGAUUGGGACUGAGACACGGCCCAGACUCCUACGGGAGGCAGCAGUGGGGAAUCCUGCACAAUGGGCGAAAGCCUGAUGCAGCGACGCCGCGUGCGGGAUGAAGGCCUUCGGGUUGUAAACCGCUUUCAGCAGGGACGAGGCGAAAGUGACGGUACCUGCAGAAGAAGCCCCGGCUAACUACGUG